This 492-nucleotide ribosomal RNA is filed under the name uncultured bacterium. RNAcentral describes it as "partial 16S ribosomal RNA". It matches the Rfam family "Bacterial small subunit ribosomal RNA", at positions 29 to 507 of the family's 1533-position model. The record is from RNAcentral.
AGUGAACGCUGGCGGUAGGCCUAACACAUGCAAGUCGAACGGCAGCACAGUAAGAGCUUGCUCUUACGGGUGGCGAGUGGCGGACGGUUGAGGAAUACAUCGGACUCUACUUUUUCGUGGGGGAUAACGUAGGGAAACUUACGCUACUACCGCAUACGACCUCCGGGUGAAAGCCUGGGAUCUUCGUACCUUGCUCGUUUGAAUGUGCCUUGGUCGGAUUAGCUAGUUGGCGGGGUAAAGGCCCACCAAGGCGACGAUCCGUAGCUGGUCUGAGAGGAUGAUCAGACACACUGGAACAGAGACACGGGCCAGACUCCUACGGGAGGCAGCAGUGGGGAAUAUUGGAAAAUAGGAGCAAGCCUGAUCCAGCCAUGCCGCGUGGGUGAAGAAGGCAAUCGGGUUGUAAAGCACAUUUGUUGGGAAAGAAAAGCAGCAGGUUAAAACCCCGAUGUUCUGACGGUACCCAAAGAAUAAGCACCGGCUAACUUCGUG